CGGACAGGUGAGUAAUGUCUGGGAAACUGCCUGAUGGAGGGGGAUAACUACUGGAAACGGUAGCUAAUACCGCAUAACGUCGCAAGACCAAAGAGGGGGACCUUAGGGCCUCUUGCCAUCGGAUGUGCCCAGAUGGGAUUAGCUAGUAGGUGGGGUAAAGGCUCACCUAGGCGACGAUCCCUAGCUGGUCUGAGAGGAUGACCAGCCACACUGGAACUGAGACACGGUCCAG
This 232-nucleotide ribosomal RNA is filed under the name uncultured bacterium. RNAcentral's name for it is "partial 16S ribosomal RNA". It matches the Rfam family "Bacterial small subunit ribosomal RNA", at positions 99 to 334 of the family's 1533-position model. The record is from RNAcentral.